CUCUAGUGGGAGGGGUCGCGGCCCUUAGUGUCAGUGAGGAUUUUAAUGAUAUUUUUGACUUGGGAACUUAAAGGGUAAGGCUCGGGAUGGAUUUUAUCAUUCGGAUUGAUAGAAUUCAAGAUCCCGGAGGUUAGGGUUACGGUUUGGGGUUAUUUGUUGGGUUGGAAUUUGAUGGUCGAAUAUUGUUAUGUGUUGUGACUAGGAUUUCGGCAAGGCUCACGUUAGUGGACUGUGCUCGGGACAUCGGUGCUCGGAAAGCUCGGAACUCAGGUAAAAGGGUACAGAAGUGAUCCACCAACCAUGAGUACAGCAGGCGUGAGGCGGCGUGUACAUGUUCGGCCAGCCUGGCCGCCACGGCCAGAGUAUUUUGGGAGAUGCUUGUAGAUAAACUCUGGUUUUGUCGUCUAGUCGACCUGGUUUAAUUAAUAUGUUGAAAACAUUCCUAAACUGUAUUUUGGGAUCCCAAGUGUAAACCCUUCUAUGAUUUUCUAUGGAAAUUAAUAUUUCUAAGGUUU
This is a long non-coding RNA of Humulus lupulus (European hop), 515 nucleotides long. RefSeq lists it as uncharacterized. NCBI's taxonomy places the organism in Eukaryota, Viridiplantae, Streptophyta, Magnoliopsida, Rosales, Cannabaceae. The record is from RefSeq and is a predicted model, not a curated record. The transcript has 2 exons.